RNAcentral lists this long non-coding RNA (1517 nucleotides) under Macaca fascicularis (crab-eating macaque). Its description in RNAcentral is "lncRNA (ENSMFAG00000055678.1)". Lineage: Eukaryota; Metazoa; Chordata; Mammalia; Primates; Cercopithecidae. The record is from RNAcentral.
UUCAACUUGUGAAAGGAAUUUUUAUUGUCCUACCAACUUGACAAUGAUAUAUCUAAGAAGAUAAACCAGUUGAAGGUAGGCUAACCAGUGGAUACGAGCUGUGCAGGAGACCAGAGAAAGGCCAAGGAAACACUUUGAACUCUUUCUCUUGCAUCUCAGCACUAUCUCUGAUGCCAAUCCACACACUCACAAACACACCACAGACACAAAUGCAUGUUUCUCCGUCAAGAGAUGUAAUAUUGUUAAGCUGUCAAUACUUCUGAGUAUUGCACAAAUUCAAUGUCAUCCUUAUUAAAAUUCCAAUGUUACUUAUUUGGCAGAGAUAUUUUAUAUAAUUCUAAAAUUCAUGUGUAGUCUCAAGGGUACAUGAAUAGCCAACAGCUUUAGAAAAGAACAAAGAAAUACCACAUCUCAUGAUGUCAAAACAGAUCCCAAAGCUACAAAAAUAAAACCAAUGUGGUAAUGGCAUAAAGAAAAAAACAAACACAUGACAGAACAAAGAACCCAGAAAUAAGCCUGUGCAAAUAUUAUCAAAUAAUCUUUUACUAGGUUACUAUGACCAAACAGUGAAGAAAAGGUCAGACUUGCCAACCAAUGGUGUGAGAAAACUCAACGUCUAAAUGAAUGAAAAAAAAAAGAAAGAAAGAUAAUGAACUUGGACCUUUCUCUUCAAUGCAAACAAAACAUUUUACAUACACUAAACAUAAAACUUAAAAAGACAUAACUCUUGAACACUUAGAAGAAAAUAUAGGGAGAAGCUUAGUAACAUUGGUUUUGGAUGGCUUUUGGAGUAUCACAUUAAAAGCAGAAGCAAUAAGAUAAUUAGAAAAGGUACUAUAUCAAACUUUCAAAACCUUCUGCACAUCCACACAUCAAGGGAAACACUAAGUGGAGUACAAAUGCCAUUCACCAUUUGACUUCUGAAACAUAACCACCACCAAGGGUGAAUAACUUUUUUUAAAUGGACCAGUGUCUUCAAAGACAUUUCCUAAAAGUAGUUAUGCAAAUGACCAAGAGGAAUUUGAAAAGACAAUCAAAAUCACUUAUGAGAAGAAUGCAAAGUAAAAUCUUGAAGUCUCACCCAUUAGCAAUGGCCACUAUUCAACAAAUAAAAAGUAAUCAAUGUUGUCAAGUAUGUAGGAUUUGGAACCUCUAUGCACUGCUGGUGGAAAAGAAUAAUGCAGCCCUCAAUAAAAGUAGGAUGCAGGUUUUCCAAAAUAUUAAAAACGAACUGUGGCUCAUGCCUGUAAUUUCAACACUUUAGGAGGCUAAAGUGGGAGAAUUACUUAGGCUCAGAAUUUUGAGUUCAGCCUGGGCAACACAGUGAGACCCUAUCUCUCGAAAAAAUACAAAAAUUAGCCAGGUAUGCUGGCAUGUGCCUGUAGUCCCAGCUACUUGGGUGACUGAGGUGGAAGGAUCAUUUGAGCCUGGGAUGUCAAGGCUGCAGUGAGCCAUUAUUGCACCACUGCACUCUAGCCUGGGUGACAAAGUGAAACCCAAUCUCAAAAAAAAAAAAA